This 489-nucleotide long non-coding RNA is filed under the name Homo sapiens (human). RNAcentral describes it as "HSALNT0121429". The record is from RNAcentral. Lineage: Eukaryota; Metazoa; Chordata; Mammalia; Primates; Hominidae.
ACCUCAUUUUCUUAUUACGAGCUCCACUUUAGCUAAAUUUCCAAAGCAGAACAUGCAAAAUGCUAACAUAGUUAAAUGUCUAUUUGGUUAUACAUAAAUGGUGCAUGUCCAUUAAUGUAUAAUACAUUUUGAAUGCAAAAGGUAAAUACCCUUUAUGAUUUCUCAAGCUACCAUCAAAGAGGCUCCAGUGGUCAACAGCAGGAGGGUGACAGACCCCUUCAGGGACCUCAGGACCCCCGGUGAAGCAAGGUACGUAAACAUCUCUUAUCUGGACAGUGAAAUCAUAUUUGUUCUCCAAGAUUGUGAAUAUCUGAUUCACCUCUACAUACAGCCUUAAUGGCUAAACCUUCAGUCUCCAUUGCGGAAGGCAGAGCCACAGUAGGAAAUACCACUUUGGCUUCUGUACCCUGGCUGGAACAAUAAUUCCACACCUGUUAUUUGCAGCAGCCCAGCAGAAAUUAAACCAAGAGUUGAGUUCUACCCACUGGC